UGUGUGUGUGUGUGUGUGUAUAUGUAUACAUACACACGCACUUUUAUAUAUGUAUAUAUAUAUAUAUAUAUAUAUAUAUAUACACACAUACACACACACA
Molecule: non-coding RNA, 100 nt
Organism: Podarcis lilfordi (Lilford's wall lizard)
Lineage: Eukaryota; Metazoa; Chordata; Lepidosauria; Squamata; Lacertidae
Source: the annotation of a GenBank genome assembly